CGUUUUCAUUGGGUUUGUAAAAUCUGUUUUUAUGCAUGUUUUGGUCUGAGUUUUUGUUGCAUUGACACAGUUUUGACCAGCAGGAGUCACCAGCGUGUGGUGUUUGCUUCGAAAUGGUUCGUUUCUCCCAUCACUACUACCCUUCUAACACUUUCUGUCAUCCAAUCAGGUUUCAGCUCAGCCUCUAAGUCCCUCCUCUCAGCAAGCAGCCCAGGAGCUUAGCUCCGCGCAGCUGACCCCUGUGACCCUCGCUCAGGGCCAGCCUCUACAGACGUCCACCAGUCAGACACAAGGUGCUGCACAGCAUGCGUACCUUCCCAGCAACUGGAACUACAGGAGUUAUCGUAAGCAUCUUCAGCAAAAGCUUCUCUAAUAGAUAUUUAUUGUUAUAUUAACCUAUAUUUAUACAGAAAACAUAAUGGCAGCCUUUUGUUUUCCUCCUUUUGCUCCUGUAAGCAGCUGAGAUCCAGAUGAUGGCUCUUCCUCAUACUCAGUAUGUGAUAGCAGAGGCCAGCACCCCCGUCACUGCUGCCGUCAACAGCAGUCAGGUCAAAACGACACACUAUGUGAUCGCAGAAGGACAGACGGAGCUGGAUGGUAAGCAGGUGAAUGUCCCGUCCACCGCAGCACAGGUUCACCCCGACCCACUGGAGCAGCCGGCCGUCAGUCAGCAGACCACCACGCAGUACAUCAUCACCACCACCACCA
RNAcentral lists this long non-coding RNA (708 nucleotides) under Sinocyclocheilus grahami. RNAcentral describes it as "lncRNA (ENSSGRG00000032200.1)". Lineage: Eukaryota; Metazoa; Chordata; Actinopteri; Cypriniformes; Cyprinidae. The record is from RNAcentral.